This 1281-nucleotide ribosomal RNA is filed under the name Triticum aestivum (bread wheat). RNAcentral describes it as "partial small subunit ribosomal RNA". The record is from RNAcentral. Lineage: Eukaryota; Viridiplantae; Streptophyta; Magnoliopsida; Poales; Poaceae.
AUGGCGCCGGAGCCAGAGGACGACUUCCUGAACGAGAAGAACCCGAGGCCGCUCGACGAGGACGACAUCGCCCUCCUCAAGACCUACGGGCUUGGGCCGUACUCGAACAGCAUCAAGAAGGUCGAGAAGGAGAUAAAGGAGAUGGCCAAGAAGAUAAACGACCUGUGCGGGAUAAAGGAGUCUGAUACUGGGUUGGCUCCACCAAGCCAGUGGGAUCUUGUGUCAGAUAAACAGAUGAUGCAAGAGGAGCAACCACUGCAGGUCGCUCGAUGCACGAAGAUCAUAAGUCCAAAUACUGAUGAUGCCAAAUAUGUCAUCAAUGUCAAGCAAAUCGCAAAGUUUGUGGUUGGUCUGGGGGACAAAGUUUCGCCCACUGAUAUUGAGGAAGGAAUGAGAGUUGGGGUUGAUCGAAAUAAGUACCAGAUUCAAAUUCCUUUGCCACCCAAGAUUGAUCCAAGUGUUACAAUGAUGACAGUUGAAGAAAAGCCGGACGUGACAUAUAAUGAUGUUGGUGGCUGCAAGGAGCAGAUUGAGAAGAUGCGGGAGGUUGUGGAGCUUCCUAUGCUUCACCCCGAGAAGUUCGUCAAGCUGGGUAUUGAUCCUCCAAAGGGAGUACUUUGCUAUGGUCCUCCAGGAACUGGAAAGACUCUUCUUGCCAGGGCAGUGGCCAAUCGGACCGAUGCAUGUUUUAUCCGCGUGAUAGGCAGUGAGUUGGUCCAGAAGUAUGUUGGUGAAGGGGCAAGGAUGGUUCGUGAGCUCUUCCAGAUGGCUCGGUCAAAGAAGGCAUGCAUUGUCUUCUUUGAUGAGGUUGAUGCCAUUGGUGGUGCUCGCUUUGACGACGGUGCUGGGGGUGACAAUGAGGUCCAGCGCACCAUGCUCGAGAUUGUCAAUCAGCUCGAUGGGUUUGAUGCGAGAGGAAACAUCAAGGUCCUCAUGGCCACAAACAGGCCUGAUACGUUGGACCCGGCACUGUUGCGUCCUGGGCGGCUGGACAGGAAGGUUGAGUUUGGCUUGCCAGACCUGGAGGGCCGCACCCAGAUCUUCAAGAUCCACACACGCGCGAUGAACUGUGAGCGGGACAUCCGGUUUGAGCUGCUUGCUCGCCUCUGCCCCAACUCCACUGGUGCCGAUAUCCGGAGCGUGUGCACAGAGGCGGGAAUGUACGCCAUCCGUGCGCGCAGGAAGACCGUCACGGAGAAGGACUUCCUUGAUGCUGUCAACAAGGUCAUCAAGGGUUACCAAAAGUUUAGCGCCACCCCGAAGUAUAUGGUGUAUAAUUAG